CUUCUCUGAUGUUAGCGGCGGACGGGUGAGUAACACGUGGGUAACCUACCUAUAAGACUGGGAUAACUCCGGGAAACCGGGGCUAAUACCGGAUAAUAUUUUGAACCGCAUGGUUCGAUAGUGAAAGACGGUUUCGGCUGUCACUUAUAGAUGGACCCGCGCCGUAUUAGCUAGUUGGUAAGGUAACGGCUUACCAAGGCGACGAUACGUAGCCGACCUGAGAGGGUGAUCGGCCACACUGGAACUGAGACAAGGUCCAGACUCCUACGGGAGGAAGCAGCG
RNAcentral lists this ribosomal RNA (282 nucleotides) under uncultured Staphylococcus sp. Its description in RNAcentral is "partial 16S ribosomal RNA". It matches the Rfam family "Bacterial small subunit ribosomal RNA", at positions 81 to 356 of the family's 1533-position model. The record is from RNAcentral. Lineage: Bacteria; Bacillati; Bacillota; Bacilli; Caryophanales; Staphylococcaceae.